Salmo salar (Atlantic salmon) is the source of this 3851-nucleotide RNA transcript. It is a transcript of the gene named golgin subfamily A member 7, with no coding region annotated. NCBI's taxonomy places the organism in Eukaryota, Metazoa, Chordata, Actinopteri, Salmoniformes, Salmonidae. The record is from RefSeq and is a predicted model, not a curated record.
UGUUCUUCAGGUCGGAAAGUCGGAGUUUAUGCCGCGUUCAAACCAACUGGGAGUUCGGAACUCGGUCCCGAAAAUAUCAGACUUCCGAGCUUUUUAAACAACUGGGAACUCGGAAGAAAAAAAAUUAUAUUUGAACGGUUAUCGAACUCGGAAUUCCAACUCGGGAACUCGGGCCUUUUUCUUGAGCUCCGACUUUCCGACCUGAAAAUCCCUGACGUCAUGAUUUGACCGCGUAUUUUUUCGAGUUCCCAGUUGUUUUGAACGCGGCACAAGAAAUAAGCCCUUGUUCCGGAGUUGGAAUUCCGAGUUUAAUGACCAUUCAGAUCGAUUUUUCCCAGUCAGAGCUCGUUUUUCCUGAGUUCCCAGUUGGUUUGAACGCGGCAGUAGUGAGUUAGCUGGAGGAAGGAACACUCACAGUCCACUAUGGCGGAGACGCACAGCUUGCAGGAGCUGCAGCAACAAGCAGCCGUCGCCUCCAAAGUGUAUGUCCAGAGGGACUACAACUCGGGUAAAAUCUGCAAGUUCCAGACCAAGUUCCCCUCAGAGCUGGAGUCCAGGGUUGGUAAGCAGCAGUUUGAGGAGACAAUGCAGACGCUUAACAACCUUUACGCUGAGGCCGAGAAAAUUGGUGGCAAGUCUUACCUGGAGGGCUGCUUGGCCUGCAUGACAGCCUACACAAUCUUCCUCUGUAUGGAGACCCACUAUGAGAAAGUAUUGAAGAAAAUCGCUAGGUUCGUCAAGGAGCAGAAUGAGAAGAUCUACGCUCCUCUGGGACUGCUGCUGACAGACCCAAUAGAGAGAGGUCUCAGGGUUGUAUCCAUUACUGUCUUGGAGGCUCACACAAACCGAGAGUACAUCCCAAAUGGCACUGGUCUGGUCAAAAGUAGUGCGCUAUAUAGGUUAUAGGAUGCCAUUUGGGACACACACUCAGACCUUUCUUGUGUACCCUUCUUUAAUUUCUUGCUGGAUCCCAGUUUCCUUAACUAACCCCCUCACCAGGUUGAAAUCACAAUUUUUGAGGACAGAAGUAUUGGCUCCGGAAGAUGAACCACACCAAUGGAUGGCCUAUUUGACCUGGUGCAUCCCAAUUAUCUCACCACACCCAUCAAUAAUUCCUUCUGGAUGUAGAUAAUUGUUUUUAUUUAUUUCACAAAAGGGAUGGGCUGUGUGCUAGUAAUCUAUAUCCCGCUGAAACAAACACUCCCUGUUUUUACAUGUUUAUUGAGAUUAUUCAUUUGAACAUGUGAAAAUGUGUUAUUCUAGUUAACCAAGUCCACACCUUUAGUAUGAAUGGUGCUGUUUUGUUUUAUAUUGCCAUUUUUAAACUCUUACUCAUUAAAGGUGUAUUGUGUAAUAUCUCCAAAUACAAAUAGCCUUUAAAGCUAUAGUUCACCCACAGUUUUUAAACCUGUGUUUAAUAUACCCUCUUUGGUUCAACAAAAUUACAACAUUAGCAAGAUGGUUCCUUACCUUGACAGUAGUCUACUGGCCAGGAGAAACUGUAAUCCACGACAAUACAUUUGUCUACUAAGACUCUCACGAAGCUGGCACUUGACUACAAGAAAUAAACGUAUUUUCCACCAUAACUCCUCUAAGAUUAGGAUCUCUAGUUAUCUAUUUCAUAAUUAUUGUUAUGUUUAUUUAUCAGAUAUUAUGCAUUUCCACAACUACCAAUGCAAACAUUUUCAUUACCGCAAUAGUUUUCAAAGUCCCAAAAAAGUAAUAAACCAAUUUCUAUAUAUUUUGUAACAUUGCUCACCUAAUGAAAAGGCCUGAGUUAAACACUGAAAACAAAUAUAUUUAAAAUUAAAUUAUUCAUGUGUUUUGUUAUUUUUCAUUACUGCAACACACAACCUUUUCUGAAUCAGUUUUUUGGUAAUAUUUAGUUGUUUUUAUGUAAACCUAUUUGGAUAAAGAACAAAAGGCACACUAUCAGAUGAAGCGAAAAUUACUAGUCUACAUUUAACUUUUUGUAAUAUUUCCUAAAUAUUGUUUUAUUACAGUAAUGUUAAGUUGGAUCCGGAGAUGAGAAUACGUGUUUUGGUAAUGCGUGUUGCAUAGUUUGCAGUUUAAAAACUGUACUGAGCUCUGUUAGAUUCAUCAUCAAAAUGUGUCAUUUGUCAGUUCCAAAUGAUUUGGGUAAUAUGAAAAUCGCUGGUCUUAAUACAAUUGACUAAAAUCCCUUAAUUUAGCAAUUUAGCAUGUAUUUUCAAAAGUGAAAGUGGACUUAAGCAUAAAACGGUUACUUUUUUCCCCAGGUAAUAUUGGUGUAUUAGGAUGUGGAUAUGUGUGGUUCUAAGGUAUUUUAGAUGGGUUUCUAAAUUGAAUGGCAUCUUAUGGGCAAAUGGCAUAACAUGAUAUGCCUAUAAAGUAUCUAGAUAUGUGGGAUAUUUACCAAAAAGAGAGGUAAAACGGGUACACAUGUCAAAAUGGGGGAUAUCCUGUAAGUGGCGGGGCUGCUCUUUGUUGAAACAAACUCCAGAUUGUGGCUUUAAGUAAAUUAAUUGGUGUUUACACCCAUAAUUCUUUGAUCCUACUUAAUUGAUUAACUGAUGUUUUACCAAUAAUCUAUAUUUUUUUUCUCAUUUUGGUAAUGAGGUCGUCAAGUGUUGUAAAGGGGAGAAUAAGAUCCUCAUUCAAAAGACAUAAAUAAAGAUUAAAUUAACUUGUUCAUGUAAGGACUACUUCUCUAGAUGAUGCAUCAUGGGUGAAUAAAACUUUAUUAAAAAAUGAAUAUAGGCGUUUUUACGUAAUAAAUAUUAUAGUUUAAUGUAAACUUCAACUAGUACAGAAUUUUUAUGAUUUAUCCUCAAACUACAGAAACAUUGUUUAUUCAAAUAAGUUAUGUUUUUCUAGUAUUAGUAGUACCAUUUUGUAAAAUUACCCAAUUUUUAAUCCGGAUGCAUUUUGGUAAUGAGAAUUUGGGGUGAAAAUGUAAGGCACUAUGCCAUAAACUUAGCGUCUUAGAAUUCAGAAUGAUUGUUGCAGAUGCAUCAUGGUUUUAUAACUCAAUUUGUUACUGCCACGGUUAAACCUUGUUUCAUGAGAAUCACCCAACUGCUAACUUGAGCAUUAAUGACCAAAAACAAUGAGAGGGGAAUGGGGCAGCGCUAGCGCAUUCCAACUUGUGGAUUUUUGUUCUUGGAGGUUGCAAACUUAAAACAGUAACAACAUUUCAAUCCUGCUAAGUUUCUGGUUUAUGAUUUGUUAUUUCCGGUAUUACUAAAUUGUACUCCUCAAAAACCAACAAAGUUCAUGCUAAAAUGUGACAUAUUGCACCUUUUAUUCAGCCUGUCAUUUUGUAUGCAAUUUUCAUGAAGAGAACUAAUUUGAGUUGGUGUGGGUGCACUUUUGGUCACCUUAGACGCGGGCUAUUCAAUAUGAACUUGUUUCGUAUGCAUCAUGUUGUGUGGGUCUGCAUAGUAUUAUGAAGAUGUCUGUUCUGAAGUGACUGUUAACCACAGUGUUUUAAGCACACAGGUUACCUGUUAUCGCCAAUAUGAAUCAUGUUUUCACAUUGGCUAGUUUAAUUUAUGAAUGUGUAAGAAAAGGUUAAAAAUCACUUACCUAGAUUGGACCACAAUAUUGCCACUGCUUAGCUUGACUUAAUGUGAAUUGACAGGAAUUGGGACUCCAACCCUGACUGUGGUGUAACAUAAUUAUGAAGAGUUUUUAGACUACCCCAUAUCCUUGAUGUGUAAAUAAUUAUUGACCACAACACAAAAUCACCACAGAAACCUUAAGCAUGCUUUGACUCUCAAUGGUGUAUACGACUGCCUGUUAAUUCCUAAUUAUUGUUUGUUUGUUAUUAUAUGUACUGUAUCUAUUAAUAAACUAUUUUCUUGAUGCCC